UAAGAUCUGCUGGAUCAACGUCCGCGUGGGUUCGAACCCCACAGCAGCCA
This 50-nucleotide transfer RNA is filed under the name Blepharisma stoltei. RNAcentral's name for it is "tRNA-Leu(taa)". Lineage: Eukaryota; Ciliophora; Heterotrichea; Heterotrichida; Blepharismidae. The record is from RNAcentral.